RNAcentral lists this ribosomal RNA (253 nucleotides) under uncultured bacterium. RNAcentral describes it as "partial 16S ribosomal RNA". It matches the Rfam family "Bacterial small subunit ribosomal RNA", at positions 524 to 776 of the family's 1533-position model. The record is from RNAcentral.
UACGUAGGGUGCGAGCGUUGUCCGGAAUUAUUGGGCGUAAAGAGCUUGUAGGCGGUUUGUCGCGUCUGCUGUGAAAAUCCGGGGCUCAACCCCGGACUUGCAGUGGGUACGGGCAGACUAGAGUGUGGUAGGGGAGACUGGAAUUCCUGGUGUAGCGGUGAAAUGCGCAGAUAUCAGGAGGAACACCGAUGGCGAAGGCAGGUCUCUGGGCAUUAACUGACGCUGAGGAGCGAAAGUGUGGGGAGCGAACAGG